This 255-nucleotide ribosomal RNA is filed under the name uncultured bacterium. Its description in RNAcentral is "partial 16S ribosomal RNA". It matches the Rfam family "Bacterial small subunit ribosomal RNA", at positions 100 to 353 of the family's 1533-position model. The record is from RNAcentral.
GACGGGUGAGUAACGCGUGAGUAACCUGCCUUCAAGAGGGGGAUAACAUUCUGAAAAGAAUGCUAAUACCGCAUGACAUAUCGGAACCACAUGGUUUUGAUAUCAAAGAUUUUAUCGCUUGAAGAUGGACUCGCGUCCGAUUAGUUAGUUGGUGAGGUAACGGCUCACCAAGACCGCGAUCGGUAGCCGGACUGAGAGGUUGAACGGCCACAUUGGGACUGAGACACGGCCCAGACUCCUACGGGAGGCAGCAUG